CCUACGGGGGCCAGCAGUGGGGGAUAUUGCACAAUGGGGGCAACCCUGAUGCAGCGACGCCGCGUGAGCGAUGGAGUACUUCGGUAUGUAAAGCUCUGUCAGCAGGGAAGAGAAUGACGGUACCUGACCAAGAAGCCCCGGCUAACUACGUGCCAGCAGCCGCGGUAAUACGUAGGGGGCAAGCGUUAUCCGGAUUUACUGGGUGUAAAGGGAGCGUAGGUGGCAGGGCAAGUCAGAUGUGAAAACCCGGGGCUCAACCCCGGUACUGCAUUUGAAACUGUCCAGCUGGAGUGCAGGAGAGGUAA
RNAcentral lists this ribosomal RNA (305 nucleotides) under uncultured bacterium. Its description in RNAcentral is "bacterial SSU rRNA". It matches the Rfam family "Bacterial small subunit ribosomal RNA", at positions 338 to 660 of the family's 1533-position model. The record is from RNAcentral.